Molecule: RNA transcript, 3477 nt
Organism: Ailuropoda melanoleuca (giant panda)
Lineage: Eukaryota; Metazoa; Chordata; Mammalia; Carnivora; Ursidae
Gene: DCUN1D2
Gene name: defective in cullin neddylation 1 domain containing 2
Exons: 8
Source: RefSeq, a predicted model, not a curated record
CGGGAGUUGGAGUUCCGCGGGCGGACCUGUCGCUGUUCACUGUGCCCCUUCUCGGGCGGGUGUCCCGGGCGCCGACGCCGAGGACGAGGACGAGGACAGCGCGGCCGGGCCGGGGCGCCUGCGCAGACGGCCGGAGCCGGCGAGAAACUGGGAUGCGUCGAGGAGAAUGUUUUCAGAAGACCGUGCAGUCUUCUUGACUAAUGAAGAACAAGGCGUGUUGUCCCGGGGUUCUGCAGUGAAGUUGACCCAGUGAGACACAGCGAAGUUCAGUUAGAAUACCGGCAGUAGUCAUGGGAUGCUGAAACAACGCUCUGAGCCAGUGGUGUUGGCUUUCCUGCUGCUUCUGUGUCCAACGCGAACACGUAGGUCAUCUUGGAAGAACACGGUCCCCAGUUUAUGGCAUUUCCUCACCGUGGCCAAAGAAGUGCCGUCUGCUGCGUAACGCAGGAUGAGUGGAAACUAGACGUGGCCGCAGACGACUUCUCACCGAGCCCAGACUCCUUCCUCAAGGAACCCAUGAGAAGCACAGUGGACAAGACGAAGCUGGAGCAGCUGUUCAACAGGUACAGAGACCCACAAGAUGAAAAUAAAAUUGGAAUUGAUGGGAUUCAACAGUUUUGUGAUGACUUAAGCCUAGAUCCUGCCAGUGUCAGCGUUUUGGUUAUAGCAUGGAAAUUCAGGGCAGCGACGCAAUGUGAAUUUAGCAAAAAGGAAUUUGUAGAUGGCAUGACAGAGCUUGGGUGUGACAGCACCGAGAAGCUGAGAGCCCUUCUGCCGAGACUGGAGCAGGAACUGAAGGACACGGCGAAGUUUAAGGAUUUUUAUCAGUUUACCUUUACCUUUGCUAAGAACCCCGGGCAGAAGGGUUUAGCCAGCUGCAAACACACCCUCCAUGGACCUGGCUGUCUGAGGGCACUUUCCACCUCCGCGCUCCAUUCUCAGUGGUGCAGACUGGACACACCUGGAGGAACUCCUUCUUCACUGCCGUUUCCACCGUGGCAAGAUUUAGAAAUGGCUGUUGCAUACUGGAAUUUAGUAUUAUCUGGAAGGUUUAAAUUUUUAGAUCUUUGGAACACGUUUUUAUUGGAUCAUCACAAAAGAUCAAUCCCAAGGGACACUUGGAACCUUCUGCUAGAUUUUGGAAAUAUGAUUGCAGAUGAUAUGUCUAACUAUGACGAAGAAGGUACGGGAAGUCCUAGUGCUUCAGAUGCUGGCCAGAAACGCUGACGCACGGGCUGCCUCUCCCUGCCCCCGGGCGCAGGACGGUGCUGACCGGCUCCCCCGACUCUGGCCCCACCCCUCAGUGCUGUGGGGGUGACGGCGGUAAUAAUAGGACCCACUUCAGCGCAUGGCCUGUUCUCAUAGACGAUUUCGUGGAGUACGCGCGGCCAGUCGUCACGGGCGCUAAGCGCAGCCCUUUCUAGGCAGAAAAUGAAGACACGUUAGGAUGCCGAGAGGAAGCACCUCCUGCGAGGCCAGUCGGUCACUGUGCCCGUGUCGCUGGCUGUGCAGUCACCCCUGGCCAGCCGGGGCGCUGGAACGACCUCCCCUGCUACAGAAAGGGCUGAGUUGGACGCGGAAGGAGCUCCUCAGAAGACGCGGCUUUGGGAUGCCUGGGGGUGGCCCCGUGGCUGUUGCUUUAGGGGAUUUCUGCAUGAUUUUUAUUAUACUUGUGAAAAGGUAACUCAGAGCCUGUUGGCUGAGUGGCAGAGCAGCUGUUUCACUCAUCAUGUCAGGGGAACGCCAACAGUGACCACAGCUCUGCCGGGCUGCCUUGUAAUUCCACUUCACAAGCGGUGUUUGUGUCCUCGGCAGGAUGCGCGGUUUUCUGCAGGUCAAAGCCGGUAUCCGUGUGGCCUAAAGAACAUCUGACACGGAUUUGAACAUUUUAUAAACUUGGUGCCAGGAAUUCAAGAUUUCUAUUUUCUGAAUUAUCAAAUACCUAGAUUUAUUGGAUCUAUUUUUAUUUUAAUUCCCUGUAGGUGUUCAUGUGAAAGUCUUUCGGCGGUUCUUGGUGUGACAGUUUGCGUGGUGAUGGCACAUGCGGGCGGGGGCUCCGGGGACAUUAUUGUAAACUCUUGACAAGUCGUGGGUCUUUUCCUUCCAAUGUCAUUUGAGUGAGCUUCCUAAAAAAUUUUGUAAAGAUUGUUUUUUUAAAAGGUGUAUUUUAUCACAUUUAAGAAGACAUUUUUCCAUGAAAAGUGUUUCUUUUACAAGCAAUGGAUUAUGGAUUUGAAAGUCCUGUGAGUUGGUCCCUUCCAGCGGUCUGCGAGGCCGGUCACCCGCCCUCUGGCUGUGUGUGUGGUUGCAUACAUGAGGCCGGUCACCCGCCCUCUGGCCGUGUGUGUGGUUGCAUACAUGAGGCCGGUCACCCGCCCUCUGGCCGUGUGCGUGGUUGCAUACAUGAGGCCGGUCACCCGCCCUCUGGCGUGUGUGUGGUUGCAUACAUGAGGCCGGUCACCCGCCCUCUGGCGUGUGUGUGGUUGCAUACAUUUCGUUCUCUGAAAACACCCGGGGGAAACCUCCACCUGGUUUCCAUCUGAAGCCCGUGCUCAUCACGUUGUUGUCUAGAUUCUUCUGGUGUUUGCUGGCCAGAGAAGACCGUCCAGUGAGGCCCAGAACCUGCCAUCCAAACGCAGAAGGCCCGUGAUGCCACCUGCUUUCUGUUUGGAAAAAGCUGCGCGUUCCACAAAUCACUGUGUGGACCCUACCUCAUAUGUGAAAAGAUCUUCAUGUCACAAGUGUGCCUGCUUCCUGCCCUCAACCCAGUUUACGAGACAGAUGAGUUGGGGUCACUUCACGGGGAGAGGAAGUUCACUUUGGACUCCCUGUAAAUGGACGGUGUGCCUAAAAUGUGUGCUUGAGUUGACUUUCACAAAUGUGGUUCGAGUUUCCGGAAGCAUCUGUGCCCAGUGGGGGGUUUUGCAUACCUGCUGUGCGUGAACUACGUAUACUUUAGAAAAGGAGUCAUUCAAAGAGACAGCAGGCUGUGGGGGGAGGAAAGGGGCCCUGAGGCUGGACACGGGCGUUGGGGCGGGGCGGCCCCAGCGAGGUGCACGACCCGUCCAGAGGCUUCUCCCAGGCCUGCGCUUCCAUGGCUCCCCAGGGAGCAAGGCUGCCUCUGCCUGUGAGCCUGGGGCUCCAAGAGAGCACAUAUUUGCAGAAUAAAAACCUCCGCGAUUUUACAGCACCCUUCGAGGCUCUGUGGGUUCCUGCCAUGUAAAGUGUUCUGCUCAGACGAGUUGUAGCGCUUGGGUAAUCUCGCACAAAUCGGGAGGUCUGUUCGUUCUCAAGAGUCAGAGGUGUGGGGGAAGUUCUGUGUGACUGUUUAUCAGAGAAAACAGAGCCCUGUGCUUGGACAGAGGCUCUUCAAAAAACUGGGUUUCUCUUUCUUCUAUUAUGUAUGUGUAAGGCAUGCAUGCUAUGAACGUGUAAGAGCUUCGGAAACAUUAAAAUAAAUUAUUUUCUCUGCUGUGA